This 438-nucleotide ribosomal RNA is filed under the name uncultured bacterium. RNAcentral describes it as "bacterial SSU rRNA". It matches the Rfam family "Bacterial small subunit ribosomal RNA", at positions 28 to 446 of the family's 1533-position model. The record is from RNAcentral.
GAUGAACGCUGGCGGCGUGCUUAACACAUGCAAGUCGAACGAAGCACUCUAUUUGAUUUUCUUCGGAAAUGAAGAUUUUGUGACUGAGUGGCGGACGGGUGAGUAACGCGUGGGUAACCUGCCUCAUACAGGGGGAUAACAGUUGGAAACGACUGCUAAUACCGCAUAAGCGCACAGGAUCGCAUGAUCCGGUGUGAAAAACUCCGGUGGUAUGAGAUGGACCCGCGUCUGAUUAGCCAGUUGGCAGGGUGACGGCCUACCAAAGCGACGAUCAGUAGCCGACCUGAGAGGGUGACCGGCCACAUUGGGACUGAGACACGGCCCAAACUCCUACGGGAGGCAGCAGUGGGGAAUAUUGCACAAUGGGGGAAACCCUGAUGCAGCGACGCCGCGUGAGCGAAGAAGUAUUUCGGUAUGUAAAGCUCUAUCAGCAGGGAA